CGCGAGCUGGGUUUAGAACGUCGUGAGACAGUUCGGUCCCUAUCUGCCGUGGGCGCUGGAGAAUUGAGGGGGGCUGCUCCUAGUACGAGAGGACCGGAGUGGACGCAUCACUGGUGUUCGGGUUGUCAUGCCAAUGGCAUUGCCCGGUAGCUAAAUGCGGAAGAGAUAAGUGCUGAAAGCAUCUAAGCACGAAACUUGCCCCGAGAUGAGUUCUCCCUGACUCCUUGAGAGUCCUGAAGGAACGUUAAAGACGAUGACGUUGAUAGGUCGGGUGUGUAAGCGUAGCGAUACGUUGAGCUAACCGAUACUAAUGAACCGUGAGGCUUAACCUUACAACGCCGAAGCUGUU
RNAcentral lists this ribosomal RNA (349 nucleotides) under Mesorhizobium sp. RNAcentral describes it as "partial 23S ribosomal RNA". It matches the Rfam family "Bacterial large subunit ribosomal RNA", at positions 2599 to 2925 of the family's 2925-position model. Lineage: Bacteria; Pseudomonadati; Pseudomonadota; Alphaproteobacteria; Hyphomicrobiales; Phyllobacteriaceae. The record is from RNAcentral.